Molecule: ribosomal RNA, 642 nt
Filed under: Triticum aestivum (bread wheat)
Lineage: Eukaryota; Viridiplantae; Streptophyta; Magnoliopsida; Poales; Poaceae
Description: partial small subunit ribosomal RNA
Source: RNAcentral
AUGAAUAUCUUAGCCUGGAACUGUCGAGGACUGGGGUUGGACUCGACGGUAGGUGAACUGCGCGACCUAGUACGGUCCCACAACCCAGCAGUGGUUUUUUUAACAGAAACAAAGAAGAAGGCCAGGGGUAUGGAGAAGCUGAUGUGGAGUUUAGGGUUCAGAUGUGGUGUGGCUGUGAAUUGCCAAGGGCUUAGUGGAGGUUUGGGUCUCUGGUGGAGGGAUCAUGUGCAUAUUUUAGUCAGACCGUUCUGCCAAUAUUUCAUUGAUGCAGAGGUGGUCUUUGAAGGUAAAUCUCUUAGAGUCACUGGAUUCUAUGGGGAACCGUGUACGGAGUUAAGGAAGAAAUCCUGGUAUGCGAUUAGAUACUUGAGAGCUCAAGAUAAUUUGCCUUGGAUAUGUGUUGGUGACUUCAAUGAAGUGUUGUUCCAAGCUGAUCAGCCAGGGGCGAAUACAAGGAGUUUUGUUCAAAUGGAAGAUUUUCGUGAUUGUUUGGCUGAGUGUGGCCUGGCUGAUCUGGGUUUCUUUGGUUACCAGUUCACAUGGGAUAAUAAGCGGGGAGGAGAUGAAAAUAUCCAGGUAAGGUUGGAUAGGGCAGUGUGUAACAGAGAUUUCUUGUCUAUCUUUCAGGAGACUCUGGUUUAG